This 397-nucleotide ribosomal RNA is filed under the name uncultured bacterium. RNAcentral describes it as "bacterial SSU rRNA". It matches the Rfam family "Bacterial small subunit ribosomal RNA", at positions 362 to 776 of the family's 1533-position model. The record is from RNAcentral.
UAUUGCACAAUGGGGGAAACCCUGAUGCAGCGACGCCGCGUGAGCGAAGAAGUAUUUCGGUAUGUAAAGCUCUAUCAGCAGGGAAGAAAAUGACGGUACCUGACUAAGAAGCUCCGGCUAAAUACGUGCCAGCAGCCGCGGUAAUACGUAUGGAGCAAGCGUUAUCCGGAUUUACUGGGUGUAAAGGGAGCGCAGGCGGCACGGCAAGCCUGAUGUGAAAGCCCGCGGCCCAACCGCGGGACUGCAUUGGGAACUACCGGGCUGGAGUGCCGGAGAGGUAGGCGGAAUUCCUAGUGUAGCGGUGAAAUGCGUAGAUACUAGGAGGAACACCAGUGGCGAAGGCGGCCUACUGGACUUUAACUGACGCUGAGGCACGAAAGCGUGGGUAGCAAACAGG